This 509-nucleotide ribosomal RNA is filed under the name uncultured bacterium. Its description in RNAcentral is "bacterial SSU rRNA". It matches the Rfam family "Bacterial small subunit ribosomal RNA", at positions 8 to 526 of the family's 1533-position model. The record is from RNAcentral.
AGGGUUUGAUUAUGGCUCAGGACGAACGCUGGCGGUGCGCCUUAUGCAUGCAAGUUGAGCGAAGCUUUUCAGUAGUUUACUACAGAAAAUGACUGAGCGGCGAACGGGUGAGUAACGCGUGAGCAAUCUACCUUAGUUACUGGGAUAGCCCGAGGAAACUCGGAUUAAUACCGGAUAAUCUUAUUACAUCACAUGAUAUUUUAAGUAAAGGUCAGCCGAACUAAGAUGAGCUCGCGUUCUAUCAGCUAGUUGGUGGGGUAAAAGCCUACCAAGGCUACGACGGAUAGCUGGUCUGAGAGGACGAUCAGCCACACUGGGACUGAGACACGGCCCAGACUCCUACGGGAGGCUGCAGCAGGGAAUAUUGUGCAAUGAGCGAAAGCUUGACACAGCGACACCGCGUGUGGGAUGACGGUUCUAGGAUUGUAAACCACUUUCAGGAGGGAAGAAAAUGACGGUACCUCCACAAGAAGCCCCGGCCAACUACGUGCCAGCAGCCGCGGUAAUAC